CCUACGGGAGGCAGCAGUGAGGAAUAUUGGUCAAUGGACGAGAGUCUGAACCAGCCAAGCAGCGUGAAGGAUGACUGUCCUAUGGUUUGUAAACUUCUUUUAUCAAGGAAUAAAACGAGGCACGUGUGCCUUUUUGCAUGUACUUUAUGACUAAGGAUCGGCUAACUCCGUUCCAGCAGCCGCGGUAAUACGGAGGAUCCGAGCGUUAUCCGGAUUUAUUGGGUUUAAAGGGAGCGUAGAUGGGUUGUUAAGUCAGUUGUGAAAGUUUGGGGCUCAACCGUAGAAGUGCAAUUGAUACUGGCAGUCUUGAGUACAGUUGAGGUAGGCGGAAUUCGUGGUGUAGCGGUGAAAUGCUUAGAUAUCACGAAGAACCCCGAUUGCGAAGGCAGCUUACUAGACUGUGACUGACAUUGAUGCUCGAAAGUGUGGGUAUCAAACAGGAUUAGAUACCCGAGUAGUC
RNAcentral lists this ribosomal RNA (460 nucleotides) under uncultured bacterium. RNAcentral's name for it is "partial 16S ribosomal RNA". It matches the Rfam family "Bacterial small subunit ribosomal RNA", at positions 338 to 795 of the family's 1533-position model. The record is from RNAcentral.